Molecule: ribosomal RNA, 942 nt
Filed under: Salmonella enterica subsp. enterica
Lineage: Bacteria; Pseudomonadati; Pseudomonadota; Gammaproteobacteria; Enterobacterales; Enterobacteriaceae
Also listed under: 1 other name
Description: partial 23S ribosomal RNA
Rfam family: Bacterial large subunit ribosomal RNA
Source: RNAcentral
AGACCCGAAACCCGGUGAUCUAGCCAUGGGCAGGUUGAAGGUUGGGUAACACUAACUGGAGGACCGAACCGACUAAUGUUGAAAAAUUAGCGGAUGACCUGUGGCUGGGGGUGAAAGGCCAAUCAAACCGGGAGAUAGCUGGUUCUCCCCGAAAGCUAUUUAGGUAGCGCCUCGUGAAUUCAUCUCCGGGGGUAGAGCACUGUUUCGGCUAGGGGGCCAUCCCGGCUUACCAACCCGAUGCAAACUGCGAAUACCGGAGAAUGUUAUCACGGGAGACACACGGCGGGUGCUAACGUCCGUCGUGAAGAGGGAAACAACCCAGACCGCCAGCUAAGGUCCCAAAGUCAUGGUUAAGUGGGAAACGAUGUGGGAAGGCCCAGACAGCCAGGAUGUUGGCUUAGAAGCAGCCAUCAUUUAAAGAAAGCGUAAUAGCUCACUGGUCGAGUCGGCCUGCGCGGAAGAUGUAACGGGGCUAAACCAUGCACCGAAGCUGCGGCAGCGACACUGUGUGUUGUUGGGUAGGGGAGCGUUCUGUAAGCCUGUGAAGGUGUGUCGUGAGGCAUGCUGGAGGUAUCAGAAGUGCGAAUGCUGACAUAAGUAACGAUAAAGCGGGUGAAAAGCCCGCUCGCCGGAAGACCAAGGGUUCCUGUCCAACGUUAAUCGGGGCAGGGUGAGUCGACCCCUAAGGCGAGGCCGAAAGGCGUAGUCGAUGGGAAACGGGUUAAUAUUCCCGUACUUGGUGUUACUGCGAAGGGGGGACGGAGAAGGCUAUGUUGGCCGGGCGACGGUUGUCCCGGUUUAAGCGUGUAGGUGUGUGUUCCAGGUAAAUCCGGUUCACUUUAACACUGAGGCGUGACGACGAGGCACUACGGUGCUGAAGCAACAAAUGCCCUGCUUCCAGGAAAAGCCUCUAAGCAUCAGGUAACAUCAAAUCGUACCCCA